Ixodes scapularis (black-legged tick) is the source of this 82-nucleotide non-coding RNA. NCBI's taxonomy places the organism in Eukaryota, Metazoa, Arthropoda, Arachnida, Ixodida, Ixodidae. The record is from Rfam.
GCAGUCGUGGCCGAGUGGUUAAGGCGAAGGACUAAAAAUCCACUGGGGUCUCCCCGCACAGGUUCAAAUACUGUCAAUUGCG